RNAcentral lists this long non-coding RNA (542 nucleotides) under Dromaius novaehollandiae (emu). RNAcentral's name for it is "lncRNA (ENSDNVG00000010438.1)". The record is from RNAcentral. Lineage: Eukaryota; Metazoa; Chordata; Aves; Casuariiformes; Dromaiidae.
GCCGUUUUCCCGCGCCCUUUCAGACUCGCCGGUGGCCGACGACAAGUGGCUGUCGGCGCUGGAGGGCACCCGCUGGCUGGACCACGUGCGGGCCUGCGUGAGGAAGGCGAGCGAGGUGGUUUCCCUGCUGGCCGCGAGACGCUGCUCCGUCGUCUUGCAAGAGCCGGAGGACCGCGACCUCAACUGCCUGCUGGCCUCGCUGGCGCAGCUGCUGGGGGACCCGCACGCCCGCACGCUGCCCGGCUUCCAGAGCCUGGUGCAGAGGGAGUGGGUGGCCGCGGGACACCCCUUCGCCCGCCGCCUGGGCCUCGGCCGCCCCAGCCCGCGGGACGAGGCGCCCGUUUUCCUGCUUUUCCUGGAUUGCACCUGGCAGCUGGUGCGGCAGUUCCCCGGCUGCUUCCAGUUCACCGAGAGCUACCUGCUGGCACUGCACGACAGCAGCUUCGUGCCUUACUUCAGCACCUUCCUCUUCAACUGCCAGUGGCAGCGGGGCCGGAGCGGCCAGGUGAGCGGCGUCCCGGCAGCGCCGUGCCUCGGUUUCC